GUGAGGAAUCUUCCACAAUGGGCGAAAGCCUGAUGGAGCAACGCCGCGUGAAGGAUGAAGGUCUUCGGAUUGUAAACUUCUUUUAUGAGUGAAGAAUAUGACGGUAACUCAUGAAUAAGCACCGGCUAACUACGUGCCAGCAGCCGCGGUCAUACGUAGGGUGCAUGCAUUAUCCGGAGUGACUGGGCGUAAAGAGUUGCGUAGGCGGUUAUGUAAGCGAAUAGUGAAACCUGGUGGCUCAACCACACAGACUAUUAUUCGAACUGCAUAACUGUGGGAUGGAAGAGGUAACUGGAAUUUCUUGUGUAGGAGUUAAAUCCGUAGAUAUAAGAAGGAACACCAAUGGCGUAGGCAGGUUACUGGGCCAUUUCUGACGCUAAGGCACGAAAGCGUGGGGAGCGAACCGGAUUAGAUACCCUGGUAGUCC
Molecule: ribosomal RNA, 427 nt
Filed under: uncultured bacterium
Lineage: Bacteria
Description: partial 16S ribosomal RNA
Rfam family: Bacterial small subunit ribosomal RNA
Source: RNAcentral